AAGUGUUAGUUCAGGCAACGAAACUGCGAACAGCUCAUUAAUACGCUCAGAACCUAUUUGGUUUCGACCCAUUAGGGCCCUAUACGGAUAGCAGCAGAAAUUCUGGUGCUAAUACGUGCUGUCAAUCCAGCUUAAAUGAGUUAAGCUGAGGACAUGACCUUUAGGCGUACCAUUCGGUUGGGCGCUCUAUCAGCUUGUACGCAGUGUCUUUUACUGUGUAGGCUGUCACGGAUAACGGGUGGUUAUCGUCAGACUGCCGGAGAGGGUGCCUGAGAGACAGCAGCCAUCACCAUGGUGAGCAGCAGGCGCGAAACUUACCCACUCGCCAACGGCGGAGGUGGUAAUGGCCAGUUCCAUUGUGUCGCAAGACCAGCGGAUAGGGGCGCACCUUUCCAGUGCGCCGUAACCUAGGAGAGGGCCAGUUCUGGUGCCAGCAGCUGCGGUAAUUCCAGCUCUCCUAGUUUGCUCCCAAUGCUACACUUAAAACGCCCGUAGUCUGAAUACGAAGCUCGCAUAGAGCGUUCACCGCGAGUAAAUCAGGACGCUUAGAGUAGUUCAUAACUGAAUGACUCAGCGCGGUAUGAGAUCUUUACCCCGUAAGGGGUCAGAUCAAAGAGAGCCAUCGGGGGUAGAGCUAUUUCAUGGCGAGCGGCGGAAUGUGUUGACCCCAUGAGAGAGCAACGAAUGCGAAAGCAUCUACCUAGAGGGUUUCUGUCGAUCAAGGGCGAGAGUCGCAGGAGCCAACCGGAUUAGAGACCCGGGUAGUUGCGACCUUAAACUAUGCCGACCGGGCCUCGUCUUUACUGGCGGGGUCCUACGCGAAAGCCGGAGUCGUUGGGCUGUGGGGGAACUACGACCGCAAGGCUGAAACUUGAAGGAAUUGACGGAAGGGCACACCAGGGGUGGAUACUGUGGCUCAAUCUGACUCAACGCGGAGAAACUUACCAGGACCUGAUAUCUUUAAUGACUGACCAGCUAAAGACUGUUCAGGAUAUGAUUGUUGGUGGUGCAUGGCCGUUGGUGGUGCGUGGGUUGACCCGUCAUGCGUCGAUUCAGAUAACGAGCGAGACUACCGCCAAUUAUCUAGUUCUCCACUCUAUUGAGUGCGAAAUCUUCUAAUUGGGACUCCCUGCGUUUAAGCAGGUGGAAGAGGGUAGCAAUAACAGGUCCGUGAUGUCCUAUAGCUGCUCUGGGCCGCACGCGUUCUACAAUGCUAGAGGCACUGGGUUGCUAACCCGAGAGGGUUUGCUACUCCUUGAAUCUCUAGCGUAGUUGGGAUUGACGCUUGUAAUAAGCGUCAUGAACCAGGAAUCCCUUGUAAGCGUGUAUCAACAUUGCACGCUGAAUACGUCCCUGCCCUUUGUACACACCGCCCGUCGCUCCUACCGAUUGGAUAGACCGGUGAAAUUAUUGGACACCUUCUGGUGGAAGGUAAUUAAACCUGUCGUUUUA
RNAcentral lists this ribosomal RNA (1452 nucleotides) under Fraterculus simplicicornis. RNAcentral describes it as "SSU rRNA". It matches the Rfam family "Eukaryotic small subunit ribosomal RNA". The record is from RNAcentral. Lineage: Eukaryota; Parabasalia; Holomastigotoidida; Holomastigotoididae.